GUGAAUCAUCAAAUCUUUGAACGCAAAUUGCACUCUCCUCGGAGAGUAUGCCUGUUUGAGGGUCAGCCUAUAAAAAUUCGAAAACGUUGCUGUACCACGGUACAGUUCGUCGGAAAUUGGGUAAUCUUAAAUCUUUUGGGUUUAAGCGUUAUAAUAUUUUCUUUUUGUUUCCAUGCACGUGUAU
This 184-nucleotide unclassified non-coding RNA is filed under the name Glomeraceae sp. Its description in RNAcentral is "partial contains 5.8S ribosomal RNA and internal transcribed spacer 2". The stretch from base 1 to 65 matches the Rfam family "5.8S ribosomal RNA", at positions 84 to 154 of the family's 154-position model. Lineage: Eukaryota; Fungi; Glomeromycota; Glomeromycetes; Glomerales; Glomeraceae. The record is from RNAcentral.